This 497-nucleotide ribosomal RNA is filed under the name uncultured bacterium. RNAcentral's name for it is "partial 16S ribosomal RNA". It matches the Rfam family "Bacterial small subunit ribosomal RNA", at positions 28 to 507 of the family's 1533-position model. The record is from RNAcentral.
GAUGAACGCUGGCGGCGUGCCUAAUACAUGCAAGUCGAGCGAACAGAUAAGGAGCUUGCUCCUUUGACGUUAGCGGCGGACGGGUGAGUAACACGUGGGUAACCUACCUAUAAGACUGGGAUAACUUCGGGAAACCGGAGCUAAUACCGGAUAACAUUUGGAACCGCAUGGUUCUAAAGUGAAAGAUGGUUUUGCUAUCACUUAUAGAUGGACCCGCGCCGUAUUAGCUAGUUGGUAAGGUAACGGCUUACCAAGGCGACGAUACGUAGCCGACCUGAGAGGGGGGUCGGCCACACUGGAGCUGGGACGCGGUCCAGACUCCUGCGGGAGGCAGCAGUAGGGAAUCGUCCGCAGUGGGCGGAAGCCUGACGGAGCAACGCCGCGUGAGUGAUGAAGGGGUUCGGCUCGUAAAACUCUGUUAUUAGGGAAGAACAGAUGUGUAAGUAGCUGUGCACGUCUUGACGGUACCUAAUCAGAAAGCCACGGCUAACUACGUG